RNAcentral lists this long non-coding RNA (972 nucleotides) under Gossypium barbadense (sea-island cotton). RNAcentral describes it as "long non-coding RNA (GBAR_LNC018157)". Lineage: Eukaryota; Viridiplantae; Streptophyta; Magnoliopsida; Malvales; Malvaceae. The record is from RNAcentral.
CAGAAGUUGCUGCUGUAUCAGCUUGACGUGAUGGAACAGAGGAACUGCUAUAUUUUAAAAAUCUAAGAGCAUAUGCCUGAAUAGCAAGUUCAUUGUCAUUUCCAGGGUGCUGCUGCUGCUCCUUAUUUGUAUCCUUCUCCAUAACAUGUUGCACAAAAAGAUGAGACAUAAAGUAGAGUAUUUCAAAGAUCUGAUACAACUAGAACAUGAAUAUAAAAUAUUCAGCAAUUUUGCAAGACAAAGUUACUGAAGACGAGGAAAACAAGCCCAAACAGCUCUAUAGCUAUCAAUAAUUCCAAAUACUUAAUUGGAUUUUCUUGAUCUGAAUUCCAAAGACCAUAUGCAUUUAGAUUUAAAUUUUAACUUAUAAUCCAGACCCUAGGAACUCAAUCAUCAAAUAAUCCAACCAACCCCAGAAAGCCAACACACUAAAAGAAAAACACGGAGACCACAUUUCAUAUAAACUAAAAUUAAAAUCCAAAAAGGUUUUAAUAAGAAGAAGACUAAAAUCCAUAUAAAUACCAAAGUUCUCAGUAACCUCUUCUCUACAUUUUUAAAGCAAGCCAGUUCUCCCAGAUCAUGUUUCCUACAUAGCAACUAAGAUAAACCAUGUACCAAAGAACAGAACAUAUUAGUGGAUAAUCAAUGUGCAAAAAAUAAAAAUAAAAAACAGUAACUGAAUUUGAAUAUUUAAAAGAAACUACCACCAAGCUUUAAUAAGAAAAUUAAACAUAAAAAAUGAUAAUCAUUAAUGUCAUCACAUAGAAAGACAUGCAUAAAAUGAUUAACCUUAAAGACCAAUAGAAGUCCAUCAAUAUAACCAGUACCAUAUCAAGUUCUGCAUUGUUGUUCUUAAGAACUUCAUCAGCCUGUGAUCCCACUAGAUCAUAGCCACAGUUUUUUGGACCAAGAUCCCUACUAUUUAGAAGCAACUGUGCUGAAUGCCAAAAGUCCAUGACAGCAUUAGCUAGG